RNAcentral lists this ribosomal RNA (274 nucleotides) under uncultured bacterium. RNAcentral describes it as "partial 16S ribosomal RNA". It matches the Rfam family "Bacterial small subunit ribosomal RNA", at positions 523 to 796 of the family's 1533-position model. The record is from RNAcentral.
ACACGUACCGGACGAACGUUAUUCGGAAUCACUGGGCUUAAAGAGUCCGUAGGCGGCUCGGUAGGUGAGGUGUGAAAUCCCACGGCUCAACCGUGGAACUGCGCCUCAAACCACCGGGCUUGAGGGAGAUAGAGGUGAGCGGAACUGAUGGUGGAGCGGUGAAAUGCGUUGAUAUCAUCAGGAACACCGGUGGCGAAAGCGGCUUACUGGGUCUCUUCUGACGCUGAGGCACGAAAGCUAGGGUAGCGAACGGGAUUAGAAACCCCGGUAGUCC